CGGCGUGCCUGGACUGCCGGCUCUGAACGACGGGCAACCGUAUUCUUCGCAGCAAAUGGCUACCAAUCAGGAACAUGAGUUUGUUUUCGGCUACCAAGAGCAAGUAUUUUCAAGGUCUUGGUGGCAAGCCCCAGCCAAUCAAGGCCAGAAGUUU
This is a long non-coding RNA of Ixodes scapularis (black-legged tick), 154 nucleotides long. RefSeq lists it as uncharacterized. NCBI's taxonomy places the organism in Eukaryota, Metazoa, Arthropoda, Arachnida, Ixodida, Ixodidae. The transcript is spliced from 3 exons. The record is from RefSeq and is a predicted model, not a curated record.